GCCGUCACAAUGGGCCAAAUAUUCUUUCUAUUGUCUAACUAGGCAAAAGAUCAACAAGCAUUUACAAAAUAUAGUAAUUCUUCUUUAUUUAUUCUUCCGAAGGACUAGGGAAAAUAGAUGAUGAUGGUAUAGUCCUGAAUGGACAAAUCAAGAUUUCUCUAUUUUAUAUAUCUAAUAUAGAUUAAGAUAUAUUCCCUCUAUUCAUGAAUAAGUGUACUUCUAGCUUUUGUCCUAGGUCAAAGUUUUAAAACUUUGACCAACUUUAUAGAAAAAAGUAGCAUUUAUGACACUAAAUUAAUAUCACUAGAUCUAUUUUGAAAUGUACUUCCAUAAUAUAUCAAUUUGAUGUCAUAUAUGUUAUUACUCUUUUGUAUAUAGUUGGUCAAAAUUUAAAAACUUUAACUUAAGACAAAAGUUAGAAGUACACUUAUUCGCGGACGGAGGGAGUAAUACAAUAAAGAACUAGUACAAUACAAAUAAAACAGACAGCAUAACCGAUAGGCUGUUCAAUCAUGGCUAGGCAAAUUGGAGUGCAACGUUUUGUUCACGUAUUCGGCCUGAUUACCAUAACUUCCAUUUUGAUACAAUAACAAGCAGCUAGAACACCGUGGUAGAGUGGAGUGUUUAUUAAAAAAAACAGAACUAUCAUUAAGCAGCUCAUGAUUCGGCAGGCAUACACAAUAAGGCCCAACUUACUUAGUAGGUCCAACAUCGUAAGAUAGUUCUAUUAGAGAACCUUGCACACUCGUUCCCCAUCUUCACUAUCCCAUCUUUCCCAAGGUGGAGUCGCUGAUAUUGCUCAUCUCCUCCAAAGCCUACAAUUAUGACAGGUCAGAUCUAGCACUCUAGCACCCAAUUAUGUCCUAGGAGUUCACAGCCUUUACCAGGAAAUGCGCAUUAUACAUUAUCAAUAACACAAAUCUAUUUCCCAGUAAAAAUGUCAACCAAUGUAACUUGAUGCAAACACAAAUUUGAUCACAACCUAUUACCAAGAGACAAGGCUCUCACCAGGAUGGAGAAACAAAGAAAGAGUAGCUUGUCAACAGUAGCUUCGAAUUUCUCAGAUUUUUACAAAUACCGCCAGUAAUCUGCAUGCAUAAAACCUUAAAAUAUAAGCCUGCAGACACAUUACAGUUAAUACUCCCUCUGUCUUUUCACUCUGCAUAUUAGAUCUCAUUAGGACAAGCCUUUGACCAACAAAAUAGUAGCAUAACUGUUGGCAAAAGGCUACACAUAAUUUGCAGGGUAAAAAUGCAGAGUGAGUAUAAUACAUGUGUCAUAAGUAUUGCUAAGCAUGUAACAAACAUUCCACAAAGCAACAACUAAACAUUUUCUUACAAUGUAUAGGAAGAUUGCAUCACAGGUCUGUUUUCUAGUAGUACAAAGUUAAUGCAAAGAUAAAUUUGAUCACAACCAUAUUAACAAGAACAGACAAGACUCUCGCUAGGACGGUCAAAGGGAGUAAAGUCUGUUUUCCAGUAAAAACCUAAAUGUCACCCAGUGUUACAUCUUGAUGCAUAGUCGCAUAGACAAAUUUGAUUACAACCGUAUUACCAAGAGACAAGACUCACCAGGAUGGUCAAAGGGAGUAAAAGAGUAGCUUGGUCAAACCAGAGCUGUUAUGAGCUCUUUAACUUCGGGUUUGCAGAUUUUUUUAAAUGUCACUGAUGCUCUGCAUGCACAAGACGAUAAAAUAAGCAUUGCAGCAAAUUCAAAUAUAUAUAUAUAUAUAUAUAUAUAUAUAUAUAUAUAUAUAAUAAAUGUGAUUUUAAGGACAAUACUUCUCCUGGAGAGAGUCGUUGAAGUAGUUCCUGAAUAUGAUCAACUUGGAAACAAGUAACUGGACCAAAAUGUUGAAAACCAAUGCCUACUAGUUUCCCCAAGCUAUCAAAAACAAGACCUCCAUAACAAGAGUGGAACGUUGGAGAACUAUCACAAAUAAAUUCUCUCAGGUCUGAAAAACUAAUAACAUUAGCCAUGCAUUAGAGUCCAUGAAGCAAUGCAAUUAUAAAAUAUAAACACCACAACAUUACUGAACUUACUUUACAGAGCCUUCUGUUAUUGAAUGCACAUAGUUUUUGUCAUCGAUACAUCUGAUGACAUAGAGGAAGACUCUUUCAUUUCUAGAAACAUUUGAACCAAGCGGAAUUUCAAUACAUGACUGCACUUCUGUUUUACAAGGAAGCAAAACCAAUAAUGGUGCUUUAGAGGCACUGGUAAUUAGUGUGAAGUCCUCAAAACACACAUCUUUUGUUUUAGCAGUAUUAAGAAAACGAAGUCGAAAGGAAUAGUUAUCUCGGAUGAGAUUCCCUCCAAACUACAUGACACACAUGUUUGGUUCUAACAUGAUAAUAAUGCCGGGAAUAAGUACAGGAAAAUCACUAUCAGGAUCAAGAACAGUGAGCUCAACCACCGAUCUACUGAUUUGAUCUCGAAGAUUUUGAUUAGGAACUACGAGAGGCUGAUAAAUGGGACCUAUAGGACCUGCACGAACAACAUAUAGAUUAAUAACUGAACUAGCCUACUGCAAAUCUUGCAACACGUGUAGAAGGAUAUUACCAGCAUGAACGCCCGGCUCAUUUGCAGGCAACAUCCGCCUUCUCUUGGGGACAAAGUGACGCCACAGAAGGCGAUGUUUCAUCAUCGCAAAGAUACGUAACUCUAUUAACUAAGCCUGAAGGAAUAUUUUUAUGAUAUUUUGCGUGUUAAUUGAGAAAAAUUCAUCCAUAUAUAGCAGUAAAGGAACAUCUGUCGAGUAAGAGAACAUACGCCAGAGGGAAGGAGUUCCGGGCUGGGGUCCGGCCGCCGGAUCUGGAGGGUCUGGCGUGCGGACAAUGACCUCGUAGAGUGCUAGUCGUCUUCGUCGCUGGUCGCCCGGGGUGGAGAAAGGAGUUGACGUCGAUGUACGGUACGGGUACGGGCCGGCGUCCGGCCGCGGCCGGAUCUAGAGAGGUCAGCCGUGAGGUGUCGCUGGCGUCCAGCCGCCGGAAGUAAUCGACGGUGGCAAAGCUGGAGUAUUCUUGCC
RNAcentral lists this long non-coding RNA (3025 nucleotides) under Triticum aestivum (bread wheat). Its description in RNAcentral is "long non-coding RNA (TAES_LNC016703)". Lineage: Eukaryota; Viridiplantae; Streptophyta; Magnoliopsida; Poales; Poaceae. The record is from RNAcentral.